This is a long non-coding RNA of Patiria miniata (bat star), 2511 nucleotides long. RefSeq lists it as uncharacterized. The transcript has 3 exons. The record is from RefSeq and is a predicted model, not a curated record. NCBI's taxonomy places the organism in Eukaryota, Metazoa, Echinodermata, Asteroidea, Valvatida, Asterinidae.
CGACGAGACGCCAUUUUGAAAAACACGCAUGAAAAUGGCUGCCGACUGUUUGUGCUUGAAGACAUUUGCAAGACUCUUUCAGCUUCUUCGAGUUUUCAAGAAGAGCAGUAACUUGAACCAUGGAGGAAUAAGAACACAUGCUUGAACAUGGCGGGAGUCCGAGAAAUGACAGUUUUCACCAUCAUUUUCCUGACUUUGUACACAACUGCUGAAGUAGCGUCAGGUGGCAGCUUGGGAUGUCUGUGAGGGCCAGGGAUGCGGCACCAUCCUGAGGUCAUGAACACAUCUUUUCUGGCUUUCAGGAUGACUGAGAGCUCCAAAUUGCUGUCUGCAUUUUGCCUAUACUGAUAGCUCACCCAACAUUCCAUGGUUUUGGACCUCCAACUACAGAAAGCACCACAGUAGCAGGUGAGUUUGUAAUGCUUUGGUCAGUGUUAUACCUAUCCACAUUCCAUCAAUGCUAGACUUGGUCCCACAAAUUGGCGAUUGUGUAGUGUAGGGCCCUGUUCCUUAUAAGGAACAAAAAUCCGCUUUUAGGUUAUUAUACUUACCAAACUAGUAAGUGAUAUUACAAACCAACAGGUAUGCCCUAGAUAGAGGCCAAGGUUUUUAAUUUAUUGACCCUGGAAAUUUGGGGUUAAAGCGAUGAUGAAGAUGACAAAACGCAACACGAAAAUAAAGAUGGCGAUCACUGCGAUGCAGUGAACAUGCUAAACUGUGUUGAUUCCCAUGGCACUUAGCAAACUGUUCAAUAUUACAAAAAAAUGAUGUCAUGAGAAAGAAGAGAAGUCUGCUUUAGUCAGACAAAAAAAAAAUUUUGGAAUAAUCAAAACACCUUUGACUUUACUUUUAAUCGAAACUAAAGAGGGGCCUACUACACAAUUGCCAUGAAAUUGGGAAACUCUUGAAGGUAAAAGUAAACCAAAAAAAUGUUGAGCUGAUUCAAUUGCAUUUUGACCGAGAGUAAGGUCUCAAUGUUUCAAUGUCUCAAUGGUUUUCAAUGUGUACACCACUGAAAUUUCUCAGUUAUUCCAACAACGAUGAGCAGUGUAUCCUUGACUUGAAGGCAUAUACAUGUACAUGUAAGAUCACUUGCUCUUUAUUCCUUUCGUUCGUUUCCAAUGUUAACACGACUCAAAAUCAAAUGAAGCAUGUGUUCAAAAGCUAGCCUGUUGAGGUUUCAGCUCAGUGGAAAAUUAUGAGAAACCGAUAUUUUGGAAAAUUCUGAAUGGGACUUUACAUAUUUUCUGGAGAGCUCCCAUUCGUCGUUUACAGCAACUGCUUACAUUUCUAGAUAGCUAAAGUUCUUGGUAAUCUUUCAUGCAUGGUCUAGUGGUUUGAUGGAGUGUGGAUUACAUAAUUCUAUCCUUAACAGUUCUGAAACUGUCAUUUGUAAUAUUUGUCAUAUCCUAGGGUUAGGGUUACAGGGACAUUUACGGCCUGAAAUCCCCAAACAUGUCAUGUUGUUAUUGUUUAUUCAUCCUAUUUCAAAGGUCUUGUUGAAAGGAAAACAACCUAUUAUCUUAUCGUUCCUGAGAAAAGAGAAAAAAAACUUGUUUACAUCAAAUGUGGGGAACAGUUUGUGGCAUACACAUAUGUAUUUCAAGCCAUGUCUGUUCAGUGUGGGCAUAUUGUACACGUUAUGCGUGUGUGUCACAUAAUACACACAGAACCAAUAUAUACACAAAUGUUGUUUCUUACACGUCCGCAGAAUGCAAACCACUGUGUUCGGCAGGAUUUACAACUAGCACUCAACAGCUCGAUUUUUGAGAUUUUUGCAAAAAUAACCCCAAAAAUUCCUAGUUUUAAGUGGACGUAUAUAUAUAUCCUACUUUGAAAUGCUAUUUCCAAUGGAUAUUAAGUCGUUUAAAAUGCGUUUCUGUAUCCCAAUUGGGCGUAUUCCAGGCCGUAAUGUCCAUGUAACCCAAACAAAAUCAAUUGAUGUAAAUAAGAAAGCAGCUAUGAAACCAAAAGUGAUGAAUUGAACUCUGUCUUUGCCUUGUCCACUCACUUUGUCAGUCCUUCAUUUUAAAGGAGCACGAUCGCGCAGGCGCUCCUACUGCGCUCCUCGACUGUCUCGAAGGAGCGCCAAAAAUAGCGCUCCUCAAAAAUCCAAAAGAGGGCUCGUCAAACACGGGAAGUUUAAAAAUAAGAAGUGAUAAAAACACAAAGGAUUUUAAGUCUUAAGCUACACGUAUUUUUCGUUGGUAUAAAUGCCCAAACUCACGUUAAUAUGCCGCUGGACAUCGCUAAAAAUGAACGAACACCGAGCUCGUACGUACUGUAAAAGAUCGUGUGUGUACGUGUACAGCGGUUGUAUACUGUGCGUGCACAAUCUGCAUAUCGCAUAGAGCUGCAUGAAAACACGUGGGCCCGUACGUGCGAGUGCAGCAAUGACUGGUUCCCGCUGCGCCACGCACUAAGUCCCAAUGAAGGCAUGAUGAAAAUGCCGUAACCAGUCAAUGUAAUAGUCGCGCGCGGUGCAAUGCACUGACGUACAGUGUUUUGCGU